This is a long non-coding RNA of Marmota monax (woodchuck), 468 nucleotides long. RefSeq lists it as uncharacterized. The transcript is spliced from 2 exons. Lineage: Eukaryota; Metazoa; Chordata; Mammalia; Rodentia; Sciuridae. The record is from RefSeq and is a predicted model, not a curated record.
UCCAAAGCAGGAGGAAGAUCUUGUGAUAGUCACCAGGUCCCCAGCUGCCUGCGGGGCCAGCCUGGGGGUGCCUGUGUGUCCCUGUGCCCUGGUGACACCACGUGGGCUGCUGGGAAGACGGAGGCCGCUCCAUAUUCUUGGCUUGUCACUUGCUGGCAGGACAAGGUGGUCGAUUUGGUUCCUGUGUCAUGUCCUGCUGUGGCUGAUGUUCGUAAGGAAGCCAGCGGGUCCUGAAGUUGCUCAAGUCUCAUGUUUGAUGAUUCUCAAGUGUUUGCUAAACCUAUAACUGAUGGCAAUUCAAAUUGGGAGGCUGAGGCAGGAGGAUUGCAAGUUGGAGGCCAGCCUCAGCAACUCAGCGAGACCCUGUCUCUAAAUAAAAUAUAAAAAGGGCUGGGGACAGGGCUCGGGUUAAGCGCCCCUGGGCUCAAUUUCCGGUAUCCCCCCAAUUAAUGGCUUAUUGAUGGUCAA